ACGACUCUCGGCAACGGACAUCUCGGCUCUCGCAUCGAUGAAGAAACUAGCGAAAGAUGCGAUACUUGGUGUUGAUUGCAGAAUCCCGUGGAACAUCGAGUCUUUGAACCGAAGUUGCGCCCCAAGCCUUCUGGCCGAGGGCACUGCUGCCUGGGUGUCACAAAUCGUCGUCCCCCAAUCCUCUCGAGGAUAUGGGUCGGAAGCUGAUCUCCCGUUGGUUACCGCACGCGGUUGGCCAAAAUCCGAGCUAAGGACUCCAGGAGCGUCUUGACAUGGCGGUGGUUGAUUUAAUUCUCGUCAUAUAGUCGGACGUUCCGGUCCAAAAGCCUCUUGAUGACCCAAAGUCCUCAACGCGACCCCAGGUCAGGCGGGAUCACCUACUGAGUUUAAGCAUAUCAAAAAGCAGAGGAAAACAAACUACAAGGAUCCCGUUAGUAACGGCGAGCGGAACGGGGAGAGCCCAGCUUGAAAAUAGGCCGUCUUCGGCGUUCGAAUUGUAGUCUGGAGAAAGCGUCCUCAGCGACGGACCGGGCCCAAGUUCCCUGGAAAAGGGGCGCCAGAGAGGGUGAGAGCCCCGUCGUGCCCGGACCCUGUCGCACCAAGAGGCGCUGUCUACGAGUCGGUUGUUUGGGAAUGCAGCCCAAUCGGGCGGUAAAUUCCGUCCAAGGCUAGAUAUGGGCGAGAGACCGAUAGCGAACAAGUACGGGGAGGUAAAGAUGAAAAGAACUUUGAAAAGAGAGUCAAAGAGUGCUUGAAAUUGUCGGGAGGGGAAGCGGAUGGGGGCCGGGGAUGCGUCCUGGUCGGGUGGGGAACGGAGCAAUCCGGUCGCCCGAUCGAUUCGGGGCGUGGACCGACGCGAAUUAAGGUGGUGACCUAAGGCCGGGCUUUUGUUACCGCGCCGUUGGAGACGUCGCUGCCUUAACCGUGGUCUGCAUGCACGCGCCUCAGUGCGUGCCUCGGCAUCUGCGUGCUGAGGGCGUCGGCCUGUGGGCUCCCCAUUCGAUCCGUCUUGAAACACGGACCAAGGAGUCUGAAAUGUGUGCGAGUCAACGGUUGAGUAAUCCCGUAAGGCGCAAGGAAUCUGAUUUGCUGGAUCCCUCACGGGUGCACAGCCGACCGAACUUGAUCUUCUGAGAAGGGUUCGAGUGUGAGCAUGCUGUCGGGACCCAAAAGAUGGUGAACCAUGCCCGAGCGGGGCGAAGCCAGAGGAAACUCUGGGUGAGGCCCGCAGCGAUACUGACGUGCAAAUCGUUCGUCUGACUUGGGUACAGGGGCGAAAGACUAAUCGAACCAUCUAGUAGCUGGUUCCUCCGAAGUUUCCCUCAGGAUAGCUGGAGCUCGUAAACGAGUUCUAUCGUGUAAAGACAAUGAUUAGAGGCCUCGGGGACGCAAUGUCCUCGACCUAUUCUCACACUUUCAAUAGGUAGGACGGGGUGGCUGCUUUGUUGAGCCAUCCACGGCAUCGAGAGCUCCAAGUGGGGCAUUUUUGGUAAGCAGAACUGGCGAUGCGGGAUGAAACGGAAGCCGGGUUACGGUGCCAACUGCGCGCUAACCUAGAACCCACAAAGGGUGUUGGUCGAUUAAGACAGCAGGACGGUGGUCCUGGAAGUCGAAAUCCGCUAAGGAGUGUGUAACAACUCACCGCCCGAAUCAACUAGCCCCGAAAAUGGAUGGCGCUGAAGCGCGCGACCUAUACACGGGCGUCGGGGCAAGAGCCAGGCCCCGAUGAGUAGGAGGGCGCGGCGGUCGGUGCAAAACCUAGCGCGCGAGCCCGGGCGGAGCGGCCGUCGUGGCAGAUCUUGGUGNNNNNNNNNNNNNNNNNNNNNNNNNCCCUUUUUUUUUUUUUUUUUUUUUUUGAAACUCCAUCACCCUAUGUUAGUUAGUGAAUUUUGGAUGGAUACAUAGAGUUAAAUUCAAAUUUUCAUAAUUUCAUAAUUUCAUAGUAUACAUGUCUUUGAUUCAUCCUUUUGAAAUUUUAAAACUUGAUAACCAAACUAAAUUAUUAUAGUAGUAUUAUAAAAUCAGAUAUUCUUUAAAGAAUUUAUGCUGAUAAUGAUGUUAUUAGGUACUCUAUGAGCAUCUAGCUAACUAGCUUAUAUCUUAUGGCAAACUAGUUUAUAGUUUAUAGUAUUUCUCAAAAAUAAAAAUCUAGUUUAUAGUAGUAGAUAAAUACAUAGAUGCGUCAUGGUGAGCACGUCUUUGGACUCUAGAAACAAGCAUUGGCGAGAAUGAAGAGAGCUUAUUUGGGAGAGAGAUGUAAUUUGUUUGGGUUUUGCACUUUAGGCCCAACUGAAUGUUUUGAUUUUUUCUCUCCACAAGGCACACACAAUAAAAGUUUAUUUUGAAUGUUUGAUUCUUUCUCUCCAAAGGCACACACAAUUAACAAAAGUAAAGAAAAAUGGCCCUUCGAAAGUCGAACUCGGGACCUAUAAUAACAACACUAGACCAAAGACAUAACCAUUGCAAAAAUGAUAAUAUUUUUUAAAAUAUCAUAUCAAUAAGAAUUGCUUUCAUAAAUAAAGGAGCGCCUACAUUCACUUUUGUUCUCUCAAUAGCCAACAUUAAUAGUAGAUGACAUCCUGAUAUUAGAUUCAUCUAGAUGCCUGAAAGCGUUUCAUUAUUCAUAUAUAAAAUUUGCUUAUCUUUAAUCGUAAUAUUCGUUUUUAAAUACUAUACAACUUUGAAAGGCGGGGUACUUAUACAAGUACAAGUCGACCACGGGAAUGAGUACUGAGCACUUAGAAGUCAUGAUUUGCACGCUCCAAAAUGCAUAUGUGGGCCCCUUCAACUUUCAUAUUUGAAGUUUUUAGACCAAAAAAUAUUUGAAGUUUUUUCAUGUCCUGCUGCAUAAACAAGGAAAAUGUAUAUAAUAAAAUACCAACAAAAUCAAUGUAAUAAUAAAAAGAUAUUCAAUUCAAGAAUUUUUUCGAAAUAGUGUGGUUUUAUUAAGUGUCAUUUAUGGGUUCAGUUAAUAUACACAUUGCCAUUAGCGAAUAUAUCAAGGAGUCAGCAAAGCAAGAUUUCCAUCAAGAUAUAUAUGUAGUCACAAACUUUAUGCUGGACUAGAUGAAUGAAAUCUUGUUAGGCUCCUUCAUAUUGUAGCUACCGAUAGCUUUUACUCCAUGCCACUUACAUCGCAUUGAUCAGUACAUAAAUGAUGUUGUUUUGCCUAGUUUGAGGGUCCCUAGGAACCUAACAUUUCUAAACGCCAGAUGAGUCUCAAAUAAUUCAACUUCUAAAAUCCUCCGAUGUUAGUGGUGAGUAGGAUGCAUCCUAGUUACAUUUAACCCAAUCCUUUAUCAGUUGGACUCUUACUG
RNAcentral lists this ribosomal RNA (3317 nucleotides) under Brassica rapa (field mustard). Its description in RNAcentral is "eukaryotic LSU rRNA". The stretch from base 354 to 2009 matches the Rfam family "Eukaryotic large subunit ribosomal RNA". The record is from RNAcentral. Lineage: Eukaryota; Viridiplantae; Streptophyta; Magnoliopsida; Brassicales; Brassicaceae.